Molecule: ribosomal RNA, 468 nt
Filed under: uncultured bacterium
Lineage: Bacteria
Description: partial 16S ribosomal RNA
Rfam family: Bacterial small subunit ribosomal RNA
Source: RNAcentral
GACGAACGCUGGCGGCGUGCUUAACACAUGCAAGUCGAACGGUGAUGCUCCAGCUUGCUGGAGUGGAUCAGUGGCGAACGGGUGAGUAACACGUGAGCAACCUGCCCCAGACUCUGGAAUAAGCGCUGGAAACGGCGUCUAAUACUGGAUACGAAACUGGCCCGCAUGGGCAUGGUUUGGAAAGUUUUUCGGUUUGGGAUGGGCUCGCGGCCUAUCAGCUUGUUGGUGAGGUAAUGGCUCACCAAGGCGACGACGGGUAGCCGGCCUGAGAGGGCGACCGGCCACACUGGGACUGAGACACGGCCCAGACGCCUACGGGAGGCAGCAGUGGGGAAUAUUGCACAAUGGGCGAAAGCCUGAUGCAGCGACGCCGCGUGAGGGAUGACGGCCUUCGGGUUGUAAACCUCUUUCAGCAGGGAAGAAGCGAAAGUGACGGUACCUGCAGAAGAAGCACCGGCUAACUACGUG